RNAcentral lists this ribosomal RNA (497 nucleotides) under uncultured bacterium. RNAcentral describes it as "partial 16S ribosomal RNA". It matches the Rfam family "Bacterial small subunit ribosomal RNA", at positions 28 to 507 of the family's 1533-position model. The record is from RNAcentral.
GAUGAACGCUGGCGGCGUGCCUAAUACAUGCAAGUCGAGCGAACAGAUGAGGAGCUUGCUCCUCUGACGUUAGCGGCGGACGGGUGAGUAACACGUGGAUAACCUACCUAUAAGACUGGGAUAACUUCGGGAAACCGGAGCUAAUACCGGAUAAUAUAUUGAACCGCAUGGUUCAAUAGUGAAAGACGGUUUUGCUGUCACUUAUAGAUGGAUCCGCGCCGCAUUAGCUAGUUGGUAAGGUAACGGCUUACCAAGGCAACGAUGCGUAGCCGACCUGAGAGGGUGAUCGGCCACACUGGAACUGAGACACGGUCCAGACUCCUACGGGAGGCAGCAGUAGGGAAUCUUCCGCAAAGGGCGAAAGCCUGACGGAGCAACGCCGCGUGAGUGAUGAAGGUCUUCGGAUCGUAAAACUCUGUUAUUAGGGAAGAACAAAUGUGUAAGUAACUAUGCACGUCUUGACGGUACCUAAUCAGAAAGCCACGGCUAACUACGUG